This is a non-coding RNA of Papaver somniferum (opium poppy), 72 nucleotides long. The record is from the annotation of a RefSeq genome assembly. Lineage: Eukaryota; Viridiplantae; Streptophyta; Magnoliopsida; Ranunculales; Papaveraceae.
GCUUCCGUAGCUCAGUGGCAGAGCGUCAGUCUUGGAAACUGAAGGUGUGCAGUUCGAUUCUGCACGGUUGCA